This 114-nucleotide ribosomal RNA is filed under the name Zingiber officinale. The record is from RNAcentral. Lineage: Eukaryota; Viridiplantae; Streptophyta; Magnoliopsida; Zingiberales; Zingiberaceae.
GCGAUUAUACCAGCACUAAUGCACCGGAUCACAUCAGAACUCCGAAGUUAAGUUUGCUUGGGCGUGAGCAGUACUAGGAUGGGUGACCCCCUGGGAAGUCCUCGUGUUGCACCU